ACUAAGCGUACACGGUGGAUGCCCUGGCAGUCAGAGGCGAUGAAGGACGUGCUAAUCUGCGAUAAGCGUCGGUAAGGUGAUAUGAACCGUUAUAACCGGCGAUUUCCGAAUGGGGAAACCCAGUGUGUUUCGACACACUAUCAUUAACUGAAUCCAUAGGUUAAUGAGGCGAACCGGGGGAACUGAAACAUCUAAGUACCCCGAGGAAAAGAAAUCAACCGAGAUUCCCCCAGUAGCGGCGAGCGAACGGGGAGGAGCCCAGAGCCUGAAUCAGUGUGUGUGUUAGUGGAAGCGUCUGGAAAGGCGCGCGAUACAGGGUGACAGCCCCGUACACAAAAAUGCACAUGCUGUGAGCUCGAUGAGUAGGGCGGGACACGUGGUAUCCUGUCUGAAUAUGGGGGGACCAUCCUCCAAGGCUAAAUACUCCUGACUGACCGAUAGUGAACCAGUACCGUGAGGGAAAGGCGAAAAGAACCCCGGCGAGGGGAGUGAAAAAGAACCUGAAACCGUGUACGUACAAGCAGUGGGAGCCUCUUAAUGGGGUGACUGCGUACCUUUUGUAUAAUGGGUCAGCGACUUAUAUUCUGUAGCAAGGUUAACCGAAUAGGGGAGCCGAAGGGAAACCGAGUCUUAACUGGGCGUUAAGUUGCAGGGUAUAGACCCGAAACCCGGUGAUCUAGCCAUGGGCAGGUUGAAGGUUGGGUAACACUAACUGGAGGACCGAACCGACUAAUGUUGAAAAAUUAGCGGAUGACUUGUGGCUGGGGGUGAAAGGCCAAUCAAACCGGGAGAUAGCUGGUUCUCCCCGAAAGCUAUUUAGGUAGCGCCUCGUGAAUUCAUCUCCGGGGGUAGAGCACUGUUUCGGCAAGGGGGUCAUCCCGACUUACCAACCCGAUGCAAACUGCGAAUACCGGAGAAUGUUAUCACGGGAGACACACGGCGGGUGCUAACGUCCGUCGUGAAGAGGGAAACAACCCAGACCGCCAGCUAAGGUCCCAAAGUCAUGGUUAAGUGGGAAACGAUGUGGGAAGGCCCAGACAGCCAGGAUGUUGGCUUAGAAGCAGCCAUCAUUUAAAGAAAGCGUAAUAGCUCACUGGUCGAGUCGGCCUGCGCGGAAGAUGUAACGGGGCUAAACCAUGCACCGAAGCUGCGGCAGCGACACUAUGUGUUGUUGGGUAGGGGAGCGUUCUGUAAGCCUGUGAAGGUGGCCUGUGAGGGUUGCUGGAGGUAUCAGAAGUGCGAAUGCUGACAUAAGUAACGAUAAAGCGGGUGAAAAGCCCGCUCGCCGGAAGACCAAGGGUUCCUGUCCAACGUUAAUCGGGGCAGGGUGAGUCGACCCCUAAGGCGAGGCCGAAAGGCGUAGUCGAUGGGAAACAGGUUAAUAUUCCUGUACUUGGUGUUACUGCGAAGGGGGGACGGAGAAGGCUAUGUUGGCCGGGCGACGGUUGUCCCGGUUUAAGCGUGUAGGCUGGUUUUCCAGGCAAAUCCGGAAAACCAAGGCUGAGGCGUGAUGACGAGGCACUACGGUGCUGAAGUGACAAAUGCCCUGCUUCCAGGAAAAGCCUCUAAGCAUCAGGUAACAUCAAAUCGUACCCCAAACCGACACAGGUGGUCAGGUAGAGAAUACCAAGGCGCUUGAGAGAACUCGGGUGAAGGAACUAGGCAAAAUGGUGCCGUAACUUCGGGAGAAGGCACGCUGAUAUGUAGGUGAAGCGACUUGCUCGUGGAGCUGAAAUCAGUCGAAGAUACCAGCUGGCUGCAACUGUUUAUUAAAAACACAGCACUGUGCAAACACGAAAGUGGACGUAUACGGUGUGACGCCUGCCCGGUGCCGGAAGGUUAAUUGAUGGGGUUAGCGGUAACGCGAAGCUCUUGAUCGAAGCCCCGGUAAACGGCGGCCGUAACUAUAACGGUCCUAAGGUAGCGAAAUUCCUUGUCGGGUAAGUUCCGACCUGCACGAAUGGCGUAAUGAUGGCCAGGCUGUCUCCACCCGAGACUCAGUGAAAUUGAACUCGCUGUGAAGAUGCAGUGUACCCGCGGCAAGACGGAAAGACCCCGUGAACCUUUACUAUAGCUUGACACUGAACAUUGAGCCUUGAUGUGUAGGAUAGGUGGGAGGCUUUGAAGUGUGGACGCCAGUCUGCAUGGAGCCGACCUUGAAAUACCACCCUUUAAUGUUUGAUGUUCUAACGUUGGCCCCUAAUCGGGGUUGCGGACAGUGUCUGGUGGGUAGUUUGACUGGGGCGGUCUCCUCCUAAAGAGUAACGGAGGAGCACGAAGGUUGGCUAAUCCUGGUCGGACAUCAGGAGGUUAGUGCAAUGGCAUAAGCCAGCUUGACUGCGAGCGUGACGGCGCGAGCAGGUGCGAAAGCAGGUCAUAGUGAUCCGGUGGUUCUGAAUGGAAGGGCCAUCGCUCAACGGAUAAAAGGUACUCCGGGGAUAACAGGCUGAUACCGCCCAAGAGUUCAUAUCGACGGCGGUGUUUGGCACCUCGAUGUCGGCUCAUCACAUCCUGGGGCUGAAGUAGGUCCCAAGGGUAUGGCUGUUCGCCAUUUAAAGUGGUACGCGAGCUGGGUUUAGAACGUCGUGAGACAGUUCGGUCCCUAUCUGCCGUGGGCGCUGGAGAACUGAGGGGGGCUGCUCCUAGUACGAGAGGACCGGAGUGGACGCAUCACUGGUGUUCGGGUUGUCAUGCCAAUGGCACUGCCCGGUAGCUAAAUGCGGAAGAGAUAAGUGCUGAAAGCAUCUAAGCACGAAACUUGCCCCGAGAUGAGUUCUCCCUGAGACUUAGAGUCUCCUGAAGGAACGUUGAAGACGACGACGUUGAUAGGCCGGGUGUGUAAGCGCAGCGAUGCGUUGAGCUAACCGGUACUAAUGAACCGUGAGGCUUAACC
Molecule: ribosomal RNA, 2893 nt
Filed under: human gut metagenome
Description: bacterial LSU rRNA
Rfam family: Bacterial large subunit ribosomal RNA
Source: RNAcentral